CGACAAGUGAAUGGAGGAUUACGGGAGCAGUGACGAAGAUACAUAUUCGUCUGAUCAAGAAUCUUAUGACGGACUCGAGAAUGAAGAGACUGAUUCUCAAUGGGGCUCUUCCACGGGAAACUCCUGCAAGGUAAUCACAAGGGAGUCUCUUUUGGUGGCACAGAGAGAAGAUUUGCGGAGAGUGAUGGACUUGCUCUCACUAAGAGAACACCAUGCAAGAACCUUGCUCAUUCACUAUCGUUGGGAUGUCGAGAGGUUGUUUGCGAUUCUUGUUGAAAAGGGAAAGACUUGCUUAUUUGCUGAAGCAGGGGUAACUAUUCUUGAAGAAAUUGAUGUUGACUCGUCUGUGUCUUCUUCGACUAUGAUGUGCGGCAUAUGCAUGGAAGAGGUAGCAGGGAGUGAAGUCACGAAAAUGGACUGUGG
RNAcentral lists this unclassified non-coding RNA (423 nucleotides) under Hevea brasiliensis (rubber tree). Lineage: Eukaryota; Viridiplantae; Streptophyta; Magnoliopsida; Malpighiales; Euphorbiaceae. The record is from RNAcentral.